This 402-nucleotide ribosomal RNA is filed under the name uncultured bacterium. RNAcentral describes it as "bacterial SSU rRNA". It matches the Rfam family "Bacterial small subunit ribosomal RNA", at positions 30 to 432 of the family's 1533-position model. The record is from RNAcentral.
AUUGAACGCUGGCGGCAUGCCUUACACAUGCAAGUCGAACGGCAGCACGGGAGCAAUCCUGGUGGCGAGUGGCGAACGGGUGAGUAAUAUAUCGGAACGUGCCCAGUCGUGGGGGAUAACGUAGCGAAAGCUACGCUAAUACCGCAUACGAUCUAAGGAUGAAAGCGGGGGACUCGCAGGAGCCUCGCGCGAUUGGAGCGGCCGAUAUCAGAUUAGGUAGUUGGUGGGGUAAAGGCUCACCAAGCCAACGAUCUGUAGCUGGUCUGAGAGGACGACCAGCCACACUGGGACUGAGACACGGCCCAGACUCCUACGGGAGGCAGCAGUGGGGAAUUUUGGACAAUGGGCGCAAGCCUGAUCCAGCAAUGCCGCGUGCAGGAUGAAGGCCUCGGUUGUAAACGU